RNAcentral lists this long non-coding RNA (218 nucleotides) under Musa acuminata (dwarf banana). Its description in RNAcentral is "long non-coding RNA (MACU_LNC011108)". Lineage: Eukaryota; Viridiplantae; Streptophyta; Magnoliopsida; Zingiberales; Musaceae. The record is from RNAcentral.
AACUCCUGGACUUGCGACGAUCCACUUGGCAAGUUCCGACGAGCUCCUUUAGCAAGCUUCUGGACUUCUCGGAUUUGUUCCCGCAGAACCUCCGACGAUUGUCCGAAAUUCCGUCGAGCUCUUGAACUCCCAAUGUGAUCAUUGUCAUGACUCCGGCGCAACUCCUGCUGCAUGUCUUACUUUCAUCGUAGUUAAUCCUGCACACUUAUCUCAACACA